AGGAUUAUUGUGAUAGGAAUAGGAUGGGUUAUGGUUAGGAUAUAUUAGGGUGGUAGGGUUAGUUUGAUAGGGCUAGGAUGGGUUAUGGUUAGGAUAUAUUAGGGUGGUAGGGUUAGUGUGGUAGGGCUAGGAUGGGUUAUGGUUAUGGUGGUAGUGUGGUGGUAGGAUUAUUGUGAUAGGAAUAGGAUGGGUUAUGGUUAGGAUGGAUUAGGGUGGCAGGGUUAGUGUGGUAGGGCUAGGAUGGGUUAUGAUUAGGGUGGUAAUGUGGUGGUAGGGUUAGUGUGAUUGGAAUAGGAUGGGUUAUGGUUAGGAUAUAUUAG
Non-coding RNA from Pelobates cultripes (western spadefoot toad), 320 nucleotides. NCBI's taxonomy places the organism in Eukaryota, Metazoa, Chordata, Amphibia, Anura, Pelobatidae. The record is from the annotation of a GenBank genome assembly.